This 483-nucleotide ribosomal RNA is filed under the name uncultured bacterium. RNAcentral describes it as "partial 16S ribosomal RNA". It matches the Rfam family "Bacterial small subunit ribosomal RNA", at positions 30 to 507 of the family's 1533-position model. The record is from RNAcentral.
UUGAACGCUGGCGGCAGGCCUAACACAUGCAAGUCGAGCGGAUGAAGGGAGCUUGCUCCUGGAUUCAGCGGCGGACGGGUGAGUAAUGCCUAGGAAUCUGCCUGGUAGUGGGGGAUAACGUCCGGAAACGGGCGCUAAUACCGCAUACGUCCUGAGGGAGAAAGUGGGGGAUCUUCGGACCUCACGCUAUCAGAUGAGCCUAGGUCGGAUUAGCUAGUUGGUGGGGUAAAGGCCUACCAAGGCGACGAUCCGUAACUGGUCUGAGAGGAUGAUCAGUCACACUGGAACUGAGACACGGUCCAGAAUCCUACGGGAGGCAGCAGUGGGGAAUAUUGGACAAUGGGCGAAAGCCUGAUCCAGCCAUGCCGCGUGUGUGAAGAAGGUCUUCGGAUUGUAAAGCACUUUAAGUUGGGAGGAAGGGCAGUAAGUUAAUACCUUGCUGUUUUGACGUUACCAACAGAAUAAGCACCGGCUAACUUCGUG